UACAGAGGGUGCGAGCGUUAAUCGGAAUUACUGGGCGUAAAGCGUGCGUAGACGGUUAUUUAAGUCAGGCGUGAAAGCCCCGGGCUCAACCUGGGAACCGCGCUUGAGACUGGAGAACUAGAGUUCGGGAGAGGAUGGUGGAAUUCCCAGUGUAGAGGUGAAAUUCGUAGAUAUUGGGAAGAACACCGAUGGCGAAGGCAGCCAUCUGGACCGACACUGACGCUGAGGCGCGAAAGCGUGGGGAGCAAACAGG
This 253-nucleotide ribosomal RNA is filed under the name uncultured bacterium. RNAcentral's name for it is "partial 16S ribosomal RNA". It matches the Rfam family "Bacterial small subunit ribosomal RNA", at positions 524 to 776 of the family's 1533-position model. The record is from RNAcentral.